This is a long non-coding RNA of Malus domestica (apple), 270 nucleotides long. RefSeq lists it as uncharacterized. Lineage: Eukaryota; Viridiplantae; Streptophyta; Magnoliopsida; Rosales; Rosaceae. The record is from RefSeq and is a predicted model, not a curated record.
AGGUGAAAUUGCUAGUGGAGAAAUUCUGUAUCCUUAUUCGCACGACUCUUCUGCUAAGGAAUAUUUGUCAUAGAAACGAGGACUACGACUGGACGUACGAGGCAUUCCCCUACCAGUAGCACUCCAUCACCCACUUGUGUGAUAUCUUGUAAUGUUCUUUCUUUUUGUAAAUCUAGUUUAGACUGUGUCUGGUUCAUUCUAGACGUUUCCGUGAAUGUUGUUAACUACUCUUAAAUUCUGAUGUUAUUCAUGAAUAUUUUCUUCUAAUCA